This is a long non-coding RNA of Tripterygium wilfordii, 647 nucleotides long. RefSeq lists it as uncharacterized. The transcript has 3 exons. The record is from RefSeq and is a predicted model, not a curated record. Lineage: Eukaryota; Viridiplantae; Streptophyta; Magnoliopsida; Celastrales; Celastraceae.
GACAUUCUUGAGAUGAUAUUGGAAAUGGCUUUUCAUGGAUUGAGUGGAUGGUCGUGUCUUGGAUGUUUGCUGCCUGAAUCAUCUGCCUAUGUAUUUCAUGGAGAACAUCUUUCUCCUAGCUGUAUUGGACUUCAAAAUCAUAUUCCCAAUAAUUUACAUCUACAACAUUUGAGGCAAAAAUACAGGAUGCGAGACAUAAAAGAAUUUCGAUAUUGCAUCAGAAAAGGUUGCGAUUAUUGGCUUCAGUAUCUCAUACUGCUCUAUCUAAUAGUUCUGUAGAAGAAGGUCAACAUGUACAACAUGUAAGGUUACAAUACAUAAAUUCACGAUUUCCAAGACUUUCAAUGUUGCGCCAGAAGAGGCCGCAAUUAUUAGCUUCAAAUUCUGUCCUUGGGUAUCUUGCAUCGGGUGCUGGUGUGCCAGUGUCAAUUACUCUGAUUUUUGGACUUCAUGGUUCUACUUAUAGUUUUGUACCAAGUUCUUCGAUUCUUAUCAGACCUAACACCAUAUUUGUGCAGUCAAUAAAGGUAAUUUGCUUUGCCACUUUGUGAAGUUUAAUUAUACACAGUUUGUUAAACGUGCUUUGGUAACCUCAUAUAUGCUUUUAUUAAGUUGAAGAGUUAAGUGAAAUAAGGCCUGGGUUAACA